Molecule: ribosomal RNA, 462 nt
Filed under: uncultured bacterium
Lineage: Bacteria
Description: partial 16S ribosomal RNA
Rfam family: Bacterial small subunit ribosomal RNA
Source: RNAcentral
GAACGCUGGCGGCGUGCUUAACACAUGCAAGUCGACCGGAAAGGCCCCUUUGGGGGUCCUCGAGUGGCGAACGGGUGAGUAACACGUGAGUAACCUGCCCUUGACUUCGGGAUAACUUCAGGAAACUGGGGCUAAUACCGGAUAGGAAUCCUUGCUGCAUGGUGGGGGUUGGAAAGCUUCGGCGGUUUUGGAUGGACUCGCGGCUUAUCAGCUUGUUGGUGGGGUAGUGGCUUACCAAGGCUUUGACGGGUAGCCGGCCUGAGAGGGCGACCGGCCACAUUGGGACUGAGAUACGGCCCAGACUCCUACGGGAGGCAGCAGUGGGGAAUAUUGCACAAUGGGCGGAAGCCUGAUGCAGCAACGCCGCGUGCGGGAUGACGGCCUUCGGGUUGUAAACCGCUUUCAGCAGGGGCGAAGCUUGUGGUGACGGUACCUGCAGAAGAAGCACCGGCUAACUACGUG